CUGAUGGGGACUGGCUGCCAGAUAAACCAACAAUGUGUUUAGAGAGUUGGAAAUUUCAGUCCCACCCCCUAGCCCCAGCCCACCACCAGGGAGGGGAGUGGGCUGAAGGUUGAACUGAUCACCAAUGGUCAGUGAUAAUAUCCACCCUGCCUGUGCAAUGAAGCCUCCAAAAAUCCUAUUGGACUGGGUUCAGAGACCUUCCAGAUAGUGGAACAA
This 216-nucleotide long non-coding RNA is filed under the name Homo sapiens (human). RNAcentral describes it as "non-protein coding lnc-CDCA7-3:1". Lineage: Eukaryota; Metazoa; Chordata; Mammalia; Primates; Hominidae. The record is from RNAcentral.